GCGGGUAUAGUUCAGUUGGUAGAACACCUCCUUGCCAUGGAGGUCGUCGCGCGUUCGAGUCGCGUUACCCGCU
This 73-nucleotide transfer RNA is filed under the name Volvocales sp. NrCl902. RNAcentral describes it as "tRNA-Gly". It matches the Rfam family "tRNA". Rfam says of the family: Transfer RNA (tRNA) molecules are approximately 80 nucleotides in length. Their secondary structure includes four short double-helical elements and three loops (D, anti-codon, and T loops). Lineage: Eukaryota; Viridiplantae; Chlorophyta; Chlorophyceae; Chlamydomonadales. The record is from RNAcentral.